CAAAAAUCACGUAGGUAAAACUGAUGCCUAUGUGCGCUGGGGGAGCUGGCAGAAGCGACUGCCAAAGAGCUCUCUAUCGUUCUUUUUACUCUCCUAGAUGAAGGUUGCCUGAGGACCGACGGAGAGCCAACGUCACCGCAGUCUUGAGAAAGAGCAAGAAGGAUGGCCUGCGCAACUUUGCUCAGAGAUAUUUGUAAGGAGCAGCCACGGUGGAUUCAGCAAGGGGAAGCGAUGUCAGACUGAGCUGGGUGAGUGCCACAGCAGAGCAUUCAGCAGCGAGGAUCAGCCUGGAGUUGUGAGCCCUCUGACUGGUCUGCCCUGCGUUUUGCAGAGUUGUUGCUGCAGGUUCAGAGUGGGCAUUCUCUUGGUGCGACUCUGGAGUGAGGUGAGCAGUGUCCUUGUGUCCCCAAACAGUGUGUGGUGCCCCUGGGUGACAGAACUCCUUUUGCGUGAGAAGGUGAUGGCACCUCCAUUCUCCAGGGGUAGGCUUGAUGGAGGGAGGGUGCCAAAUGCUGCCUGCAGGAGUUGGUGCUUUGUUCCCUCAGGUGCUGCUGCAGCUGGUGUCCUCACUGGAUUGGUGCGUGCU
Molecule: long non-coding RNA, 586 nt
Filed under: Phasianus colchicus (ring-necked pheasant)
Lineage: Eukaryota; Metazoa; Chordata; Aves; Galliformes; Phasianidae
Description: lncRNA (ENSPCLG00000017184.1)
Source: RNAcentral